GCUUUACUGUAACCUGGAAUGGUGUCCGGGCUGAACUUGCGCAGGAUAGGUGGGAGGCGUAGAGAUAUUCCUUGUGGGGGAUAUGGAGCCAACACUGAGAUACCACUCUUGUUCAGCUAGGAUUCUAACCCGCGACCGUGAGCCGGUCGGGAGACAGUUUCAGGCGGGCAGUUUGACUGGGGCGGUCGCCUCCUAAAAGAUAACGGAGGCGCGCAAAGGUUCCCUCAGCACGCUUGGAAACCGUGCGACGAGUGUAAAGGCAUAAAGGGAGCUUGACUGUAACACCUACAAGUGGAGCAGGUACGAAAGUAGGCCUUAGUGAUCCGACGGCACAGCGUGGAAUGGCCGUCGCUCAACGGAUAAAAGUUA
RNAcentral lists this ribosomal RNA (369 nucleotides) under Nostochopsis sp. 04207-00001. Its description in RNAcentral is "bacterial LSU rRNA". It matches the Rfam family "Bacterial large subunit ribosomal RNA", at positions 2098 to 2465 of the family's 2925-position model. Lineage: Bacteria; Bacillati; Cyanobacteriota; Cyanophyceae; Nostocales; Hapalosiphonaceae. RNAcentral also lists the same sequence under 1 other name. The record is from RNAcentral.